AGGCGAAACCGGGCUUCGGUCCGGUCUGUCGGUAAGAGCCGGCACUGAUGAGCCUGAAA
Molecule: non-coding RNA, 59 nt
Filed under: Methanobacteriota archaeon
Lineage: Archaea; Methanobacteriati; Methanobacteriota
Source: RNAcentral